AUGCUCCUGUAAUAGCUGUACUUGGUGACUCACAAACUAAAUAUCUCCGUUUCCACUUCGACCCCAGAUCCCGUACUGCCCCGACAAUGUUCGUGUCCAAGAGCGGAGGCCGAAUCGCAGACUUCAAAGAAGAGGUGGACCAGCUGCCCGCAAGUGUUCGUGUCGUGGUGUUGCAGUGUGGGACGAAUGACAUGCCGGACACCGAUCCCGACAUGGCCAUCCGUCGCUAUGUGCAACUCAUCGACCACAUUCGCUCUCGGGGAAACAUCGAACUUGUGGCGACGCGAAUUCCAGUGCAAUCCCCGGGCGUUUGCGUUCAACCAACGACUGAUGACCCUGUGCCGAAGUGCCCGUGACCUGUAUUUCCUGGACCAUGGUUUCCACCGACAGCCCCCCACCAGAGUCCUUGCAGCUGACGGCCUCCACCCCAGUUUCGAAGGAGUCGCCCAGAUCGCCCACCGACUGCAGUCCCUGGUACCCCGGCUGCUCCGCCGGCUACCCACACGUACAGCAAGUACUGGAACGCCGGACCCCGUAUGGCCGACACUCCAGGAGGCUGCAGCUUCGACACAAAGAAGCACACGUGCCGAGAAAUCGUCACGAUCCAGGCAGCAGGAUUGACUAGCCGGCUCACGGGUAUUUCCUCAAGGUCCUGCUGCACAGACCCGGUCAUUCCCCUUUCACUCAGUCACCAACCUAUGUUAGUCAUGACAAAAGCGCAUGCGCUGCUCUCUUUCCCUUGUACAUAACCCUCUCCCAUAUAUAAAGCUUGUUCUUGUCACCAAACCCAAGUCCCGUCGAAGGCAGCGCUGACUGCCGAAACGUCGACCCCUAUCCCUAUAUGUGUUAAUAAACUCCCCUUUGUGUUUUCCUGUAAGCUCUUUGUCGUCUUCUGAUUUUUCCUGCUUAUUUCAUUCUCGUGGUCAACCGCC
This is a long non-coding RNA of Ornithodoros turicata, 932 nucleotides long. RefSeq lists it as uncharacterized. The transcript has 3 exons. Lineage: Eukaryota; Metazoa; Arthropoda; Arachnida; Ixodida; Argasidae. The record is from RefSeq and is a predicted model, not a curated record.